RNAcentral lists this ribosomal RNA (233 nucleotides) under uncultured bacterium. Its description in RNAcentral is "partial 16S ribosomal RNA". It matches the Rfam family "Bacterial small subunit ribosomal RNA", at positions 796 to 1041 of the family's 1533-position model. The record is from RNAcentral.
CACGCCGUAAACGAUGAUGACUAACUAUGGCCGUGAGGCCGUGGUGAAGCUAACGCAUUAAGUCAUCCGCCUGGGAAGUACGGUCGCAAGACUGAAACUUAAAGGAAUUGACGGGACCCCGCACAAGCAGUGGAGCAUGUGGUUUAAUUCGACGCUACGCGAGAAACCUUACCAGGGUUUGACAUGGUGGAUAAGGCCUCAGAGAUGAGGAGAUAAUACCCACACACAGGUGG